AACGAACGCUGGCGGCAGGCUUAACACAUGCAAGUCGAGCGCGCCCUUCGGGGUGAGCGGCGGACGGGUGAGUAACGCGUGGGAACGUGCCCUUUCCUCCGGAAUAGCCCUGGGAAACCGGGAGUAAUGCCGGAUACGGCCCCCUUUCGUGGAGAUUGGGGGCGAAAGAUUUAUCGGGGAAGGAUCGGCCCGCGUUGGAUUAGGUAGUUGGUGGGGUAACGGCCUACCAAGCCGACGAUCCAUAGCUGGUUUGAGAGGAUGAUCAGCCACACUGGGACUGAGACACGGCCCAGACUCCUACGGGAGGCAGCAGUGGGGAAUCUUGGACAAUGGGGGCAACCCUGAUCCAGCCAUGCCGCGUGAUCGAUGAAGGCCUUAGGGUUGUAAAGAUCUUUCAGCUGGGAAGAUAAUGACGGUACCAGCAGAAGAAGCCCCGGCUAACUCCGUGCCAGCAGCCGAGUAAUAC
RNAcentral lists this ribosomal RNA (466 nucleotides) under uncultured bacterium. RNAcentral's name for it is "bacterial SSU rRNA". It matches the Rfam family "Bacterial small subunit ribosomal RNA", at positions 29 to 526 of the family's 1533-position model. The record is from RNAcentral.